CAAGCCAACUCUCUAUCACUUCAUAAGGUGAGUAAUAAAGAGAAAUGUUGGCAUCGGCCAAGACUUCUUUCUAAACCUCUUCUUAGGAGUUGCAAAUGCUCAGGGCUGAAGACCACUUGCUAGAUACAGACAUCAGCAAGCUUUCUGAUCUUCCUCUUCCUUUAUGCUGCUUCAGAAGCUCAAAAAGAUCCUGAUGCUUCUUGAAGGAAUCAAAUAAGAAUUCCCACUCUUGUGAUUUGUUGAUUUCUUAAGAUUUCUACUUUCCCCACAUCUGUUUUGUACCUGCUAUUCCUUCUCUAACUGCUCUGAGACAGAUUUAGCCUUCUGUCCCUCACUUCAAAGGCAUUUUUGUGC
Long non-coding RNA from Aquila chrysaetos chrysaetos, 354 nucleotides. RefSeq lists it as uncharacterized. The transcript is spliced from 3 exons. The record is from RefSeq and is a predicted model, not a curated record. Lineage: Eukaryota; Metazoa; Chordata; Aves; Accipitriformes; Accipitridae.